This 417-nucleotide ribosomal RNA is filed under the name bacterium enrichment culture clone ALO1_GLFRUDD03FYGPL. Its description in RNAcentral is "bacterial SSU rRNA". It matches the Rfam family "Bacterial small subunit ribosomal RNA", at positions 9 to 429 of the family's 1533-position model. The record is from RNAcentral.
GAGUUUGAUCAUGGCUCAGAUUGAACGCUGGCGGCAGGCCUAACACAUGCAAGUCGAGCGGAUGACGGGAGCUUGCUCCUUGAUUCAGCGGCGGACGGGUGAGUAAUGCCUAGGAAUCUGCCUGGUAGUGGGGGACAACGUUUCGAAAGGAACGCUAAUACCGCAUACGUCCUACGGGAGAAAGCAGGGGACCUUCGGGCCUUGCGCUAUCAGAUGAGCCUAGGUCGGAUUAGCUAGUUGGUGGGGUAAUGGCUCACCAAGGCGACGAUCCGUAACUGGUCUGAGAGGAUGAUCAGUCACACUGGAACUGAGACACGGUCCAGACUCCUACGGGAGGCAGCAGUGGGGAAUUUUGGACAAUGGGGGCAACCCUGAUCCAGCCAUGCCGCGUGAGUGAAGAAGGCCUUCGGUUGUAAG